GGCUGGUGUGGUGUAGUGGUUUGUGUUGGACUAGGACUCUGGAGACCAGGGUUUGAAUCCCCACUCAGCCA
Molecule: transfer RNA, 71 nt
Filed under: Phrynosoma platyrhinos (Desert horned lizard)
Lineage: Eukaryota; Metazoa; Chordata; Lepidosauria; Squamata; Phrynosomatidae
Description: tRNA-OTHER
Source: RNAcentral